GCGUGCGGGAAGAAGGCCUUCGGGUUGUAAACCGCUUUUGUCAGGGAAGAAAUAUUCCGGGCUAAUACCCCGGGAGGAUGACGGUACCUGAAGAAUAAGCACCGGCUAACUACGUGCCAGCAGCCGCGGUAAUACGUAGGGUGCGAGCGUUAAUCGGAAUUACUGGGCGUAAAGCGUGCGCAGGUGGUUAUGUAAGACAGAUGUGAAAUCCCCGGGCUCAACCUGGGAAUUGCAUUUGUGACUGCAUGGCUAGAGUGUGGCAGAGGGGGAUGGAAUUCCGCGUGUAGCAGUGAAAUGCGU
Molecule: ribosomal RNA, 300 nt
Filed under: uncultured bacterium
Lineage: Bacteria
Description: bacterial SSU rRNA
Rfam family: Bacterial small subunit ribosomal RNA
Source: RNAcentral